CCUCGAAAGCUAUUUAGGUAGCGCCUCAUGUAUCACUGUAGGGGGUAGAGCACUGUUUCGGCUAGGGGGUCAUCCCGACUUACCAAACCGAUGCAAACUCCGAAUACCUACAAGUGCCGAGCAUGGGAGACACACGGCGGGUGCUAACGUCCGUCGUGAAAAGGGAAACAACCCAGACCGUCAGCUAAGGUCCCAAAGUCAUGGUUAAG
This 209-nucleotide ribosomal RNA is filed under the name Bacillus thuringiensis. RNAcentral describes it as "partial 23S ribosomal RNA". It matches the Rfam family "Bacterial large subunit ribosomal RNA", at positions 857 to 1063 of the family's 2925-position model. Lineage: Bacteria; Bacillati; Bacillota; Bacilli; Caryophanales; Bacillaceae. The record is from RNAcentral.